UUUAAGAAAUCCAGCUCUAAAAUUGAAAUCCUAGGAACCGUCUUGACCACUGCUGGCUGUGUGACUGAGUCGUUCAACACGGCUGGUCUGUCUGGUCAAGCUAUAGGAUUACUUAAUGGUGUUGUGGAAAAAACGUUGGAG
Long non-coding RNA from Pseudophryne corroboree (corroboree frog), 141 nucleotides. RefSeq lists it as uncharacterized. The transcript has 3 exons. The record is from RefSeq and is a predicted model, not a curated record. Lineage: Eukaryota; Metazoa; Chordata; Amphibia; Anura; Myobatrachidae.